Molecule: ribosomal RNA, 482 nt
Filed under: uncultured bacterium
Lineage: Bacteria
Description: bacterial SSU rRNA
Rfam family: Bacterial small subunit ribosomal RNA
Source: RNAcentral
AGGCUUAACACAUGCAAGUCGAGGGGCAGCAUAAAAGUAGCAAUACUUGGUGGCGACCGGCGCGACGGGUGAGUAACGCGUAUGCAACCUACCUAUCAGAGGGGAAUAACCCGGCGAAAGUCGGACUAAUACCGCAUAAAACAGGGGCACCGCAUGGUGAUAUUUGUUAAAGAAAUUCGCUGAUAGAUGGGCAUGCGUUCCAUUAGGUAGUUGGUGAGGUAACGGCUCACCAAGCCGACGAUGGAUAGGGGAACUGAGAGGUUGGUCCCCCACACUGGUACUGAGACACGGACCAGACUCCUACGGGAGGCAGCAGUGAGGAAUAUUGGUCAAUGGGCGAGAGCCUGAACCAGCCAAGUCGCGUGAAGGAAGAAGGAUCUAUGGUUCGUAAACUUCUUUUGCAGGGGAAUAAAGUGCAGGACGUGUCCUGUUUUGUAUGUACCCUGAGAAUAAGGAUCGGCUAACUCCGUGCCAGCCGCUGC